This 253-nucleotide long non-coding RNA is filed under the name Gossypium barbadense (sea-island cotton). RNAcentral's name for it is "long non-coding RNA (GBAR_LNC023055)". Lineage: Eukaryota; Viridiplantae; Streptophyta; Magnoliopsida; Malvales; Malvaceae. The record is from RNAcentral.
AACGAUACAAAUACAACAACGAUGCUCGUGUGAACUUAGUAAAAGAUUAAGAUACGUAUGGCAUGCAAUUAGAGUUAUAUAUAACUGAUCAGGGAUUUACAAGAUGAUAUGAGAUCUAGCAUUUGUUGUAGAUUCUCGAGUUGUAUGUAUCAUUGGUUUAGCCUGAACUGGUAACCUCAAUAUGAUGUUAGCUUGUGUGAGCAACCUUGAUCUUUGUCAGCUUGUGUGAGUAAAACAUUCUCGUGUAUCUAAA